AGUGAACGCUGGCGGUAGGCCUAACACAUGCAAGUCGAACGGCAGCACAGUAAGAGCUUGCUCUUACGGGUGGCGAGUGGCGGACGGGUGAGGAAUACAUCGGAGUCUACUUUUUCGUGGGGGAUAACGUAGGGAAACUUACUCUAAUACCGCAUACGACCUACUGGUGAAAGCAGGGGAUCUUCGGACCUUGCGCGAUUGAAUGAGCCGAUGUCGGAUUAGCUGGUUGGCGGGGUAAAGGCCCACCCAGGCGACGAUCCGUAUCUGGUCUGAGAGGAUGAUCAGCCACACUGGAACUGAGACACGGUACAGACUCCUACGGGAGGCAGCAGUGGGGAAUAUUGGACAAGGGGCGAAAGCCUGAUCCAGCCAUACCGCGUGGGUGAAGAAGGCCUUCGGGUUGUAAAGCCCUUUUGUUGGGAAAGAAAAGCAGCAGGUUAAUACCCCGCUGUUCUGACGGUACCCAAAGAAUAAGCACCGGCUAACUUCGUG
Molecule: ribosomal RNA, 492 nt
Filed under: uncultured bacterium
Lineage: Bacteria
Description: partial 16S ribosomal RNA
Rfam family: Bacterial small subunit ribosomal RNA
Source: RNAcentral